This 353-nucleotide unclassified non-coding RNA is filed under the name soil metagenome. RNAcentral describes it as "partial contains 5.8S ribosomal RNA, internal transcribed spacer 2, and large subunit ribosomal RNA". The stretch from base 1 to 120 matches the Rfam family "5.8S ribosomal RNA", at positions 35 to 154 of the family's 154-position model. The record is from RNAcentral.
GAUGAAGAACGCAGCGAAAUGCGAUAAGUAAUGUGAAUUGCAGAAUUCAGUGAAUCAUCGAAUCUUUGAACGCACAUUGCGCCCGCCAGUAUUCUGGCGGGCAUGCCUGUUCGAGCGUCAUUACAACCCUCAGGCCCCCGGGCCUGGCGUUGGGGAUCGGCGGAAGCCCCCUGCGGGCACAACGCCGUCCCCCAAAUACAGUGGCGGUCCCGCCGCAGCUUCCAUUGCGUAGUAGCUAACACCUCGCAACUGGAGAGCGGCGCGGCCACGCCGUAAAACACCCAACUUCUGAAUGUUGACCUCGAAUCAGGUAGGAAUACCCGCUGAGCUUAAGCAUAUCAAUAAGCGGAGGA